AUUGAACGCUGGCGGCAGGCCUAACACAUGCAAGUCGAGCGAGCGGCGGACGGGUGAGUAAUGUAUCGGGACUGCGCGAUAGCGGGGGAUAACAACUGGAAAAGGUAGGUAAUACCGCAUAAUAUCGGAUUACCCAGAGGGGAUUAGCUAGUAGGUGAGGUAAUGGCUCACCUAGGGGACGAUCCCUAGCUGGUCUGAGAGGAUGAUCAGCCACACUGGGACUGAGACACGGCCCAGACUCCUACGGAGGCAGCAGUGGGGAAUAUUGCACAAUGGGCGCAAGCCUGAUGCAGCCAUGCCGCGUGUAUGAAGAAGGCCCUCGGGUUGUAAAGUACUUUCAGUCGGGAGGCGUUACCGACAGAAGAAGCACCGGCUAACUCCGUGCCAGCAGCCGCGGUAAUUC
RNAcentral lists this ribosomal RNA (403 nucleotides) under uncultured bacterium. Its description in RNAcentral is "partial 16S ribosomal RNA". It matches the Rfam family "Bacterial small subunit ribosomal RNA", at positions 30 to 526 of the family's 1533-position model. The record is from RNAcentral.